AGAGUUUGAUCAUGGCUCAGAGCGAACGCUGGCGGCAGGCUUAACACAUGCAAGUCGAACGGAUCCUUCGGGAUUAGUGGCGGACGGGUGAGUAACACGUGGGAACGUGCCUUUUGGUUCGGAACAACACAGGGAAAACUUGUGCUAAUACCGGAUGUGCCCUUCGGGGGAAAGAUUUAUCGCCAUUAGAGCGGCCCGCGUCUGAUUAGCUAGUUGGUGAGGUAAAGGCUCACCAAGGCUACGAUCAGUAGCUGGUCUGAGAGGAUGAUCAGCCACACUGGGACUGAGACACGGCCCAGACUCCUACGGGAGGCAGCAGUGGGGAAUCUUGCGCAAUGGGGGAAACCCUGACGCAGCCAUGCCGCGUGAAUGAUGAAGGUCUUAGGAUUGUAAAAUUCUUUCAGCGGGGACGAUAAUGACGGUACCCGCAGAAGAAGCUCCGGCUAACUUCGUGCCAGCAGCCGCGGUAAUACGAAGGGGGCUAGCGUUGCUCGGAAUUACUGGGCGUAAAGGGCGCGUAGGCGGACAGUUAAGUCAGAGGUGAAAGCCCAGGGCUCAACCCUGGAAUUGCCUUUGAUACUGGCUGUCUUGAGUAUGGGAGAGGUGAGUGGAACUCCGAGUGUAGAGGUGAAAUUCGUAGAUAUUCGGAAGAACACCAGUGGCGAAGGCGACUCACUGGCCCAUUACUGACGCUGAGGGCGAAAGCGUGGGGAGCAAACAGGAUUAGAUACCCUAGUAGUCC
RNAcentral lists this ribosomal RNA (742 nucleotides) under uncultured bacterium. RNAcentral describes it as "bacterial SSU rRNA". It matches the Rfam family "Bacterial small subunit ribosomal RNA", at positions 8 to 796 of the family's 1533-position model. The record is from RNAcentral.